Rhododendron vialii is the source of this 2420-nucleotide RNA transcript. It is a transcript of the gene named nifU-like protein 3, chloroplastic, with no coding region annotated. The transcript has 6 exons. Lineage: Eukaryota; Viridiplantae; Streptophyta; Magnoliopsida; Ericales; Ericaceae. The record is from RefSeq and is a predicted model, not a curated record.
ACAUCGACACGUAUGAAUGAGGAGAGAGAUAGAGACGGAGAGGAGUGAGAAAGAGAAGUUCCAGCGAGAGAAUGGUUAAACUCCAUCUUCCCUCUUAUCUCUGUCUUGUGGUUGAGAGAGAGAGAGAGAGAGAGAGAGAGAGAGAGAAGAAGCAGAAAUGGAGAAGGCUCUGACAAAAGUAGGUAGCAUCAAAGCUAGUACAUUCUGGGCCCCCAACAAAGCCAAACAAGAGAUCUCCAACAUUACCCAGGACCUCUCUUCUUCCUACCUUUUGCUAAAUAGCACUCUAGGAAUGGGCGCAAUCUCAACCCCGACUCAACGUCUCAGAGCAACACCAACCACAGCAAUAUACAAGUCCGUCUACAAGAAACCGGUUGCUGAUUGCAGUAUUUUGUCAUCGAAGAAGAACUCGUUUCUCUUUGGCCAAUUCACUGCUAGACACUUUCGGGGAUUCCAUUCAAUUCAUGGCAUUAGAAAGCAUGCCGGUGGUCGUGUGUUUUCACCAACAUGUGUCCUCCCACUGACUGAGGGGAAUGUUGAGAAGGUGUUGGAUGAAGUGCGACCGGGCCUAAUGGCGGAUGGAGGGAAUGUGGCUCUGCAUGAAAUUGAUGGUCUUGUUGUGGUACUAAAGCUGCAAGGAGCAUGUGGUUCUUGUCCAAGUUCAACUAUGACACUCAAAAUGGGAAUCGAAACUCGGCUCCGAGAUAAGAUCCCAGAAAUUCAAGAAGUGGAGCAAAUUUUGGACGCCGAGACUGGCCUUGAGCUGAAUGAGGAGAAUGUCGAAAAGGUGUUCUCUGUCAGCUGCAGUGACAUUCAUGGCCUCAAGAGACUUAUGCCGAAAAAGAAUAGAUAGCAAACUUUCAUGGCCAGAGACGCAAAAUUGUAACUGAUUUAUGUUCCCCUUUGCUCUGAUUGGAACCUUGAAUUUUUGGAGCGAUUUGUAGUGGGAAGUGAUUUAUCCGAGGCAACAAACUGCAUGGUUGGAGUGAUUGUCCUAUAUCGGUAAUUGCUGCAGAAAUCACUAAUUGCUGCCCGACUAAGGGAUGGAGUGAUUGUCCUAUAUCGGUAAGUGGAUGAAUUCUUUGGUCAUUGUUGUUCAGCCACCGCUAUGUGGACAGUGGCACUAGCCCUCAGGGAUUCGUGGAAUUACACGUACGCCCUCAGGGAUUCGAUGGUAGUGAUGGGCUGUUUCUCGGCUAGGGCUUUUGACGGACAAGUCGGCACAACACCGAUGGCUACCUAGUAGCGUAGACUCUAGUGCAGCUUGUUUGUUUAUCUGCGAUUACAAUUUACAUCGGUGUCCAGUUUUUCAAAAAAAAUGCUUUUGGUGACCCAUUUUAUGACUAUAUAUGUGAUAUUAUAAAGCAUAUUAAAAACAAUAAUGUGUUGAUUAUUAGGAUAAAGACCGGGGGCAGAUGGUACAAGGAUUCUUAUACUAAGAUCCUAAUUAUUUGUUUGGAUGGAGAUUUCAAAAUUUUUGGGUUUGGUUCUUUGGGGUAUUGUGUGGAGAGAAAUUAGGUAAUAAUUGGACUAUUGGAGAUAGGGAUAAUGAGUGGAGAUAGGGAUAAUGAGAAUAAUGAUUGCAGAUAGGGAUAAUGAGUAGAGAAAGAAAUGAGAGUAAUGAUUGAAAGUAGAGUAAUGAAUAUUUUUUGAGUUGGAAAUUAUUUUUCAAAAAGCCAUCCAAACAAGGCGCAUUCAGAUGAUUAUAUGGUAUGUUUUGGAAAAGUGAUAAAAUCAUAUAUAUGAAUCAUGCAGCCAGGUUUUGUUUUGGCAAAAUUAGUCGGUCCUGGGCAAUACUUUACAUUAGUACUUUGUUGUGCAUAUUAUAAUCUAUCCAUCUAUCUAUCUAUCAAUAUCCUAUACAAUUGUAGUGGGGGCUCUCCAACCUUCAAAUCUCGAAUCCUAAAUUUUCAGAAUUUAGAAUUUUUAAAACCUAAAUAAUACUGGGCAGUUAUAUGUUUUAAUGGGAGAAGAGGGAUGGGGAUGGACGUGGGGUGGAGUAAAUGGAGAUCACAUUUAUUACUUCUUUUCUUUUCUUUUUUCUUUUAUGUUUUAUGUUUUAUGACUUUUUUGUUGUAUUUUCUUUUUUAAUUGGUCAAUGAUAUAUUUGUGUCCCAUUCGAUAUAUGAAACAAUGAAUAAAUUUCAACCCAACGUUUUUUUCGCUGCCCCGUGUAUGGAACGGGACACAAUGCUAAUCAUCAUUAAAUAUCGUAUGCAAAUAUAUUUGAGCCAAAAAACCUCUAAUCUCCCAAUCCUAAUUUUUUAGAUUUUUGAAUUUUUUUUUACCAAUAAAAAAACUCCACGUUCUCUUAUUCCACCCACAUAUCAAUAACUGAAUUCAUAGUCCUCUCAAUUCCCAAAUGGAAAGAAAAAAAGCAAAAAAAAAAAAAUACUCCCAUGUCUAUACUCCCAGUCCCA